UGCUGAUGUGUGCACCCCAGCCACCCAGUAGCUUGCUCACUGGUGGCAUUAUCACGAUUUCUACUGCAAACCUUCAACCAAAGCCUCCUCCUCCCCUGCUACUUCCCACAGACAACUCUGAACAGGCUGUGGGCAGCACUACUUCCUUCUACCUGAGGGCAGAAUACAUAUGAGAGGAAAGCAAAGUGGCAGGAUCCAGGAGAGGGAGCAACCAGAGCAGUGAAUACAUAGGGUAAAACCAGGAAAUGCCUACCCACAAGACCCACAGAAAAAGCAAUGGGUCACACAUGCUCCUACAUGGAAUGCUUGGAUGCAAGGCUUCACCAAGAAUUUUUCCUCUCUGACGGUCAAUGGCACCAGGCGUUUCCCUGUCUCUUCUUCC
Long non-coding RNA from Chiroxiphia lanceolata (lance-tailed manakin), 382 nucleotides. RefSeq lists it as uncharacterized. The record is from RefSeq and is a predicted model, not a curated record. The transcript is spliced from 3 exons. Lineage: Eukaryota; Metazoa; Chordata; Aves; Passeriformes; Pipridae.